GUUAAUCGCGGUUAUGAUGGGUGCUUUUGUCCUUGUGCGUAUGGUGACCGAGCCUGAAUGACUUCUGAGGCCACAGAUGGAACGGACGAUGGGCAGCUUUGUUUACCUUCAAGACCGAGUGGUGCUGUGGGUUUGCUGAAAGCAACAGCAGGACAGAAAAUAUGGGAUGUGGGCCUUGGAAGGACCAGCUGAUGAAAAAAUCAACGCCUGUGCUGCACAGUAAGGCUUCUGGCAGACCUGAAAGCAUCGAUAGAUAUGGUACCUGCCUGUUGGAAUUGCACCAGCUCGCUUCCCUGAAAGAAGCUAGGUGCUGAAGAAGUACUUGACUAACCUACCCGCAUUGUCAUUGUGACAGUCUGCAUCACCAUUCGGCCUAUUUUGGGAUCCCACAAGACACGCUGCUACCCUGGGUGUUGUACCUCGGUCAAUUGCUGAAGUUCUGCAAGCCCCAUUGAAGCCAACAGUCAUCCGCAUCCAAUGGAAGAAAU
Molecule: long non-coding RNA, 488 nt
Organism: Dermacentor andersoni
Lineage: Eukaryota; Metazoa; Arthropoda; Arachnida; Ixodida; Ixodidae
Source: RefSeq, a predicted model, not a curated record